This is a non-coding RNA of Pseudonaja textilis, 607 nucleotides long. NCBI's taxonomy places the organism in Eukaryota, Metazoa, Chordata, Lepidosauria, Squamata, Elapidae. The record is from RefSeq and is a predicted model, not a curated record.
GAUUAUAUAUGAACACUUACACCAGGCCGACCAUCUGGCUAAAUAAAAUCACUGCAAUUUAGAGCUUGGUGGAAGCAGUGCUAAACUAAUUUCAAGCAAAUACUGAAGCAUUCUACAUCUUUUGGGGAGCGUCUUAAAAGAAAUUGAGGAGUUGAGGAUACACAGGUUUGCUGCAUAUCAUUUUUUAGAACAUAUAACAUCUUCAUGAAAAUUGUUGUUAGGUGAAAAUGUCUUUUUUUUUGCUAAAGCAUUAAAGAAAUGGCAAUCUGCAAAUCUACAUUUCAAAGCUAGUUGAGCCCAGAAGACUUACAGCUUCGUGAAUGAAUAGCUCAUCAGCACAUUUUGCAGACGGCAGGGAGACAUUACAGUUAUGGAACCCACUUAAAUGGGCGAAUCUGAGCAUUUUCUUGACCUAUAGUUACAAGCAAAGAAGGCAUUUGAGUGCUUUCAUAAACAUGGCAAAUAAUAAAUAGAACUAUUCAGCUAAGCAAACAUUUGCAUCAUUAUAAAUAGGGAAAGAAACCUGCCAUAAUGAAAUUCUGGCACAGAAGGAACACCACUGGGCAAUUAUCAAAAGGGGCUGCCACAAAGAAAAGAUGGCCAAUCU